AAAAUAACAAGAAGAAGAGAAUUCCUCAGCUCCUUUACGAAAGAGGUGUAAAGACUAAAGACACUUCUUCUUCAUCUUAAACAAGAACCCCCAGAAUUGCUCCUCUGUAUCUUUGACCUCGCAAAAUUCAUCCUCCAUUUCAAUCCUAUUCCUCAGAUAUGAGCUUCAUAGAAGUUUAUACAACCAUCAAAUCGAAAGAAUCAACCUAGAACAAUAGUCUCGUCAAAUUUUUUCUUUCUGUAGGAUUCCCACGUCCAAGGUUGGAGCUACUUUCAGAUCUGGCGAAUCCUUUGUGUGGAUACUCAUACCAUCAACACCCCCACAAUCUCACCGGUUAAAGGUUUAAGUAACAAUAACACUGAGAUUACCAACUACCAAAUGUGGAUAUCCUUGUUAAUGCAAAACUUCCAACAACGAUAACCACAAACCACAUCCUCCUGGACAUUAUGAGUUAGGAUGUUAUGGAGAACUUCAUUAGGCGAUACACUCAAAGGAAGUGCUGCUUCAACAGCUACAGGGACAACCACUAUUGCUAGAUUAUUAUUUUGGACUUUUUCCUUGUGAAUUACCCAAGUCUGCAGGAUACCUAGAUUUGCCUGUAUCGUUUGCUGCUGAUGCUGACUGCUUUCCCCUCUCUUGGCUUUUUUGAUCAUUUGUAGGACUAUUAGCUUGUUUACCACUCAGAAUUGCGUGUAUUUUUUGCUGGUGCUGUUGACUGCUUCUACCUUUCUUGGCUAUGAAAGGAUCUGGAUAUCCACUCCUUAGUGGACAUUUGGUUUUCAAUUAUUAACUCUUGCUUUCCCAGAUGCUUGCAUAUCCAUCAUUGAUGUAAUAAUUGUUUCAUUUGCUUGUGUGUGCUCUUCUCCCUCCUAUGUGAGUGCUUCAAAUGAGUUAUCAUUAGUUAUCCUA
Molecule: long non-coding RNA, 909 nt
Organism: Solanum dulcamara
Lineage: Eukaryota; Viridiplantae; Streptophyta; Magnoliopsida; Solanales; Solanaceae
Exons: 6
Source: RefSeq, a predicted model, not a curated record